GAUCAUGGCUCAGAUUGAACGCUGGCGGCAUGCUUUACACAUGCAAGUCGAACGGUAACAGGGAGCUUGCUCCGCUGACGAGUGGCGAACGGGUGAGUAAUGCAUCGGAACGUACCCAAUCGGUGGGGAUAACGUAGCGAAAGUUACGCUAAUACCGCAUACGUCCUGAGGGAGAAAGCGGGGGAUCGCAAGACCUCGCGCUAUCAGAUGAGCCUGCGUAAGAUUAGCUAGUUGGUAGGGUAAAGGCCUACCAAGGCGACGAUCUUUAGCUGUUCUGAGAGGAUGAUCAGCCACACUGGGACUGAGACACGGCCCAGACUCCUACGGGAGGCAGCAGUGGGGAAUUUUGGACAAUGGGCGCAAGCCUGAUCCAGCAAUGCCGCGUGCAGGAAGAAGGCCUUCGGGUUGUAAACUGCUUUUGUACGGAACGAAAAGGUCCGGGUUAAUACCCUGGGCUCAUGACGGUACCGUAAGAAUAAGCACCGGCUAACUACGUG
This 497-nucleotide ribosomal RNA is filed under the name uncultured bacterium. RNAcentral describes it as "bacterial SSU rRNA". It matches the Rfam family "Bacterial small subunit ribosomal RNA", at positions 15 to 507 of the family's 1533-position model. The record is from RNAcentral.